UGAGGAAUAUUGGGCAAUGCCCGCAAGGGUGACCCAGCAACGCCGCGUGGAGGAUGAAUGUCGUAAGAUUGUAAACUCCUGUUAGAGGGGAAGAAUAGUACCGGUUGGACCGGUAUAUGACUGUACCCUCAGAGAAAGCCCCGGCUAACUACGUGCCAGCAGCCGCGGUAAUACGUAGGGGCAAGCGUUGUCCGGAUUUACUGGGUGUAAAGGGCGCGCAGGCGGGAUAAAAAGUCAGUGGUGAAAUCCUACAGCUUAACUGUAGAACUGCCUUUGAUACUUUUAUUCUUGAGUUCGGGAGAGAGAGACGGAAUUCCAGGUGUAGUGGUGAAAUACGUAGAUAUCUGGAAGAACACCAGUUGCGAAGGCGGUCUCUUGGUCCGACACUGACGCUGAGGCGCGAAAGCGUGGGGAGCAAAC
Molecule: ribosomal RNA, 420 nt
Filed under: uncultured bacterium
Lineage: Bacteria
Description: bacterial SSU rRNA
Rfam family: Bacterial small subunit ribosomal RNA
Source: RNAcentral